This 432-nucleotide ribosomal RNA is filed under the name uncultured bacterium. RNAcentral's name for it is "partial 16S ribosomal RNA". It matches the Rfam family "Bacterial small subunit ribosomal RNA", at positions 29 to 507 of the family's 1533-position model. The record is from RNAcentral.
AACGAACGCUGGCGGCAUGCCUAACACAUGCAAGUCGAACGAGACCUUCGGGUCUAGUGGCGCACGGGUGCGUAACGCGUGGGAACCUGCCCUUAGGUUCGGAAUAACUCCCCGAAAGGGGUGCUAAUACCGGAUAAUGUCUUCGGACCAAGGAUUUAUCGCCUUUGGAUGGGCCCGCGUUGGAUUAGCCUGUUGGUAGGGUAAAAGCCUACCAAGGCGCGGAUCCAUAGCUGGUCUGAGAGGAUGUUCAGCCACACUGGGAUUGGGACACGGCCCAUACUCUAGGGGGGGGAGGGGGAGGGGAAACUAGGGCAGGGGGCGAAAGCCUAUACCGCCAUGGCCGGGAUGGUGAUCAGGGCCUUGGGUUGUAAAGCUCUUUUACCCGGGAUGAUAAUGACAGUACCGGGAGAAUAAGCUCCGGCUAACUCCGUG